GAUGAACGCUAGCUACAGGCUUAACACAUGCAAGUCGAGGGGCAGCAUGGUCUUAGCUUGCUAAGGCCGAUGGCGACCGGCGCACGGGUGAGUAACACGUAUCCAACCUGCCGUCUACUCUUGGACAGCCUUCUGAAAGGAAGAUUAAUACAAGAUGGCAUCAUGAGUCCGCAUGUUCACAUGAUUAAAGGUAUUCCGGUAGACGAUGGGGAUGCGUUCCAUUAGAUAGUAGGCGGGGUAACGGCCCACCUAGUCUUCGAUGGAUAGGGGUUCUGAGAGGAAGGUCCCCCACAUUGGAACUGAGACACGGUCCAAACUCCUACGGGAGGCAGCAGUGAGGAAUAUUGGUCAAUGGGCGAGAGCCUGAACCAGCCAAGUAGCGUGAAGGAUGACUGCCCUAUGGGUUGUAAACUUCUUUUAUAAAGGAAUAAAGUCGGGUAUGGAUACCCGUUUGCAUGUACUUUAUGAAUAAGGAUCGGCUAACUCCGUGCCAGCAGCCGCGGUAAUACGGAGGAUCCGAGCGUUAUCCGGAUUUAUUGGGUUUAAAGGGAGCGUAGAUGGAUGUUUAAGUCAGUUGUGAAAGUUUGCGGCUCAACCGUAAAAUUGCAGUUGAUACUGGAUAUCUUGAGUGCAGUUGAGGCAGGCGGAAUUCGUGGUGUAGCGGUGAAAUGCUUAGAUAUCACGAAGAACUCCGAUUGCGAAGGCAGCCUGCUAAGCUGCAACUGACAUUGAGGCUCGAAAGUGUGGGUAUCAAACAGGAUUAGAUACCCUGGUAGUCCACACGGUAAACGAUGAAUACUCGCUGUUUGCGAUAUACUGCAAGCGGCCAAGCGAAAGCGUUAAGUAUUCCACCUGGGGAGUACGCCGGCAACGGUGAAACUCAAAGGAAUUGACGGGGGCCCGCACAAGCGGAGGAACAUGUGGUUUAAUUCGAUGAUACGCGAGGAACCUUACCCGGGCUUAAAUUGCAGAUGAAUUACGGUGAAAGCCGUAAGCCGCAAGGCAUCUGUGAAGGUGCUGCAUGGUUGUCGUCAGCUCGUGCCGUGAGGUGUCGGCUUAAGUGCCAUAACGAGCGCAACCCUUGUUGUCAGUUACUAACAGGUUCCGCUGAGGACUCUGACAAGACUGCCAUCGUAAGAUGUGAGGAAGGUGGGGAUGACGUCAAAUCAGCACGGCCCUUACGUCCGGGGCUACACACGUGUUACAAUGGGGGGUACAGAGGGCCGCUACCACGCGAGUGGAUGCCAAUCCCCAAAACCUCUCUCAGUUCGGACUGGAGUCUGCAACCCGACUCCACGAAGCUGGAUUCGCUAGUAAUCGCGCACCAGCCACGGCGCGGUGAAUACGUUCCCGGGCCU
RNAcentral lists this ribosomal RNA (1358 nucleotides) under uncultured bacterium. Its description in RNAcentral is "bacterial SSU rRNA". It matches the Rfam family "Bacterial small subunit ribosomal RNA", at positions 28 to 1381 of the family's 1533-position model. The record is from RNAcentral.